This 636-nucleotide unclassified non-coding RNA is filed under the name Hevea brasiliensis (rubber tree). The record is from RNAcentral. Lineage: Eukaryota; Viridiplantae; Streptophyta; Magnoliopsida; Malpighiales; Euphorbiaceae.
UUUUUAAAAAUAAAAAGGGGAAACGCUUAUUCACCUGUCAAAAUAACAAAUACACUCGCAACAAAGAAGAUGUUAUUGGAGUCAUCUCCAACAUAUUCGUCAAAACAGUUCCACAUCACACAUUUCUCAAGAGAUUCAAUUGCCAAUUGUAAAAUUUAAGUCAAAAAAAGGAACAUCUACUGCCUCUAAAUGUAUUUGACCAAGUAGAUUCCCUGUAACAGCUAAAAACUGUAACCCCUAGAAGAACAGCUCUUAGCACCAUUUGAUUCACCCGUAUAGUUGUUGCAACCAAAAGCACAGGCAAAUUUCCAGUGCCUGCAACCUUGAUAUACAAUGACUAAUCUAUGUUCCUAAAUAUGAUCUGUAUAUGAUUUGUGAAGGAAGUGAAUUUCCGAGUGAUUAGAGAAGGUACACCUGUUUUGAUAACCCCCACUUGGAUCUAAUGGUACAAAACUUUCAAAUCUUAAUUGGCCAAACAUAGUUUUGAACUACACAUGCUGUACUCCAUAUCAAUAUUUGGCUCAUUUUUUAUCAAUUUCAGCACCUCCAACGAAUGUGUGAGCUCAGGAUUUUCUGUACUGAGUAUGAUUAGCUUAUGCUAUUGGUCUUUUAUUUCAUGUAUUCCAACACACUUUG